GUACUACUGAAGAGUCUCACAAUAGGACGAAACGAUCAUCCAGUGC
Molecule: non-coding RNA, 46 nt
Filed under: Schistosoma curassoni
Lineage: Eukaryota; Metazoa; Platyhelminthes; Trematoda; Strigeidida; Schistosomatidae
Source: RNAcentral